AGGAUGAACGCUGGCGGCGUGCCUAACACAUGCAAGUCGAACGUCCUGUCUCGCAAGAGGCAGGGAGUGGCGGACGGGUGAGUACCACGUGGGUCAUCUACCGUGAGGUGAGGGAAUACCGGCGAGAAAUCGCCGACAAGACCGCAUAGGCUCGAUGCAAGUCGAGCAAAAGCGUCUUUCGAGAGAGGGAGCGCCGACACGAGGAGCCUGCGCCCGAUUAGCUAGCUGGUGGAGUAACGGUUCACCAGGGCGACGAUCGGUAGCUGGUCUGAGAGGACGAUCAGCCACACUGGGAUUGAGAACGGCCCAGACUCCUACGGGGGGCAGCAGUGAGGAAUUUUCGUCAAUGGGGGCAACCCUGAACGAGCAACGCCGCGUGCAGGAAGAAGGUUUUCGGAUCGUAAACUGCUUUUUCUCGGGGAAGAGAACGGACGGUACCCGAGGAAUCAGCCCCGGCUAACUACGUGCCAGCAGCCGCGGU
RNAcentral lists this ribosomal RNA (481 nucleotides) under uncultured bacterium. RNAcentral's name for it is "SSU rRNA". It matches the Rfam family "Bacterial small subunit ribosomal RNA", at positions 26 to 521 of the family's 1533-position model. The record is from RNAcentral.